Molecule: long non-coding RNA, 2650 nt
Filed under: Sus scrofa (pig)
Lineage: Eukaryota; Metazoa; Chordata; Mammalia; Artiodactyla; Suidae
Description: lncRNA (ENSSSCG00040001081.1)
Source: RNAcentral
AGAGUUGCAACAUUUAUUUUAGGUUCUCUCUCUCUUGGGUUUUUUCCUGUAUUUUUUUUUCCUUUUUGCCACACAGGCAGUAUGUGGGAAUUCCUGGGCCAGGGAUUGAACCUAUGCUGCACAGUAGCAACCAAAGCCACAGCAGUGAGAACGCAGGAGCCUCAACCUGCUACACCAUCAGAGAACUCCCUACAGUAUCUUUACCAGUAUGUGUAAGUGUAUGGUAAGUGUAUAUAUAUAUAUAUACACACACACACACACACUUACCAUAAUAAGAAGCUUAAUUUGAAAUUUUCAGGUAAAUAUUAAAUUUGAAAAUUAAAAAUUCACAGUAGAUAAUAAGUAGCUAUGGAUAUAUGACACAGAUUAGGAACAUAUUCAAGCCAGCCAUUGUUAAACCUUAUUCUUUUUGCUUUUAUUAUUAAUUCUUCUAGUUUACUAGUUAUAUUCCUGAAGGAGAGGUGUCCUAAGCAUAGGUAUUUAUAGCACAUUUUAACUAUAUGAUAAAUAAACAAAUACAAAACAUUCUUAGGAGUUCCCGUCGUGGCACAGUGGUUAACGAAUCCGACUGGGAACCAUGAGGUUGCGGGUUCAAUCCCUGGCCUUGCUCAGUGGGUUAAGGAUCCGGCAUUGCCGUGAGCUGUGGUGUAGGCAGCUCGGAUCCCGUGUUGCUGUGGCUCUGGCAUAGACCGGUGGCUACGGCUCCGAUUAGACUCCUAGCCUGGGAAUCUCCAUAUGCCGUGGAAGCGGCCCCAGAAAAGGCAAAAAGACCAAAAAAAAAAAAAAAAAAAAUUCUUAAAACAGAAUAACUUAAACAGCCUUCACAAUCAAUAUAGCAUUUUAUAUUCUUGCAAUUUUAACUCACAGUUUAUAAGAAUACACAGAACAUAAUACAGUUCCCUGGUGGUGCAGCAGGUUAAGGAUCUGACAUUGUCACUGCUGUGACCCAGGUCGCUGCUGUGGUGCGGGUUCAAUCCCUGGACCAAGAACUUCUGCAUGCCACAGAGCAACUGAUGAUCCUGUCUCGCUUUGCUGAAUCCCAUUCAUUCCCAUUAAAUAUUUAUUAAUGCCAAUAAAUGUACUGAAGACACAGAACAAGGAUGGACAGAGUCCAGGCUAUUGUGAAACUCUCAAAACCAGGAAUUAUAUCUAUAUAUGUAUGUAUGAAUAUUCACUACAACGGUGACACAUCAACAUACAUACAAAAUGGCUUUUUACCUAUAUUAUUUUCCUAUUUCCAUACUAUAACAAUUACCAUGAAUUUGGUGGCUUAAAACAACAGAAAUGUGUAACUGACAGUUUUGGAAGUUAGAAGUCCAAGCGGGCCUCCGUGGGCGAAAGUCAAGGUGUAGGCAGAGCUGCACUCCUUUCUGGUGGCUCUAAGAAAGAAUCUGUUUCCUUGCCUUCCCAGCUUCUAAAGGCUACCCUCAUACCUUGGCUCAUGGGCCCCCUUCCAUUUCAAAAUCAGUAAGAGCUGGUUGAGUCUUUCUCACAUCUCACCGUUGUGACACUGACUAUUCUGCUCCCCUCUUCCACGUUUAGGAAAACUGUGGAAUUAUACUGGGUCUACUCAGAUAACUCAGGAUAAUCUACCUUUAGGUCACCUGAGUAGCACCCUUCAUUCUCUCUGCACCCUGAACACCCCUUGCCAUGUAACAUAACAUAUUCACAGAUUCCAGGGAUUAGGACAUGGACAUUAUUAGGAGAACCAUUACUCUAUCUACCAUGCAGAUGAAUCGUUUUUCUCUAGUUUUCUUCAGGAACUCCAUCGACCAUUAUCCAUCUCUGAAGUUACACACAACCAGUUCACAUAACCACUUGAUUCUAGAGAAAGGGUCUGUAACUGUCAACAAAUUCUCAAUGUUUAAGCAUCUUCGGACUAACUCAUAGAAUAUCAGUGUUCCUUAGAAGGAUAGUCUGGCAGUGUCAACAAUGCCAAAUUUUAGACUGGCUUUUAAAUGUGUAUAUUUUUAGCUUUGAAGACCUUGAUAUGGGUUGAAAGUUUUUUCUUGUUAUAUUUUUCCUGUGAGUGUUUUUAGUUUUAAUCAUCCUAAUUAUACUUCUUUAUAUCUUGCACAUGUAAACAUUUUUCUACACUGGUAUGCAUCAUUUUGUGAUGAUGUGAACAGUAAAUCCAGUGGACUUUGCACAAUUUACUCAAUAAUCUUACUCUUAAGACAUAUCAAGCCAACCCCCUUUUUUGCUAUUACAUUUAGUAUGUUGGAAUGAGCAUCUUCCUGCAUAGAUCUUUUUCCAUUUAUUUCACCUAGACUAGAUUCUUGAAAUUGGAAUUUCUGGCAGGAUGAUAUGGAUAUUUCUCUAAUCCUUUUUAUAAUUACCAAGUUACUUUCCUAAAUGUCUUUUUAAAUUUGCACUGCCACCAGCCUUUACUCACUCAUAUCAUCAAUGUGAGGAGGUUUUUUAAAAUGUCUUUGAGGGUACCCUUUGUGCAUAAAAAGAAUAUUCAAGGGCCACUUAAAUUCCUAUCCCAGUUAUUAACUAAAAAACUUAGUUCUCCCUUAACUUUUUUUUUUUUUCCCACUGUACAGCAAGGGGGUCAGGUUAUCCUUACAUGUAUACAUUACAAUUACAGUUUUUCCCCCACCCUUUCUUCUGUUGCAACAUGAGUAUCUAGACAUAGUUCUCAAUA